UACGUAGGGGGCAAGCGUUGUCCGGAAUUAUUGGGCGUAAAGAGCGUGUAGGCGGCCAGAUAAGUCCGCUGUGAAAUCUCGAGGCUCAACUUCGAGCUGUCGGUGGAAACUAUCUGGCUAGAGUCCGGAAGAGGAGAAUGGAAUUCCUGGUGUAGCGGUGAAAUGCGCAGAUAUCUGGAGGAACACCGGUGGCGAAGGCGGCAUCCUGGACCGACACUGACGCUGAGGAGCGAAAGCCAGGGGAGCAAACGGG
RNAcentral lists this ribosomal RNA (253 nucleotides) under uncultured bacterium. RNAcentral describes it as "partial 16S ribosomal RNA". It matches the Rfam family "Bacterial small subunit ribosomal RNA", at positions 524 to 776 of the family's 1533-position model. The record is from RNAcentral.